UUCACCCACGAGGUUGCUUGAAAACAGUUAUUGAAAUGUUCAGUGGAAUGCCUGAAUUUAUUGGAACUCUGAAAUCUGUCUCCCAAAUUCUGAAAACAAAUCAAAGCCAGGGGUUGGCACUUCCAAGUAUCCAGCUUCAGAGCAUGGUGGCUGCAAUUCCAGGUAUGUUGAAUUGCAAAGUCUGAAUUAUUUGCUGAAAUAUGUCUGGGCAGUCAUAGUCUUGCUGCUUGGUACUAAAUUCUUCCACUGUAACUUGUUUUGAGACAAAUAGUUUAUACUAAACUUUAU
Molecule: long non-coding RNA, 288 nt
Filed under: Coturnix japonica (Japanese quail)
Lineage: Eukaryota; Metazoa; Chordata; Aves; Galliformes; Phasianidae
Description: lncRNA (ENSCJPG00005018056.1)
Source: RNAcentral